UAGCAGUGACAGGCCAUUUUUGGUAUGCUUAGGAUUACUCAGAUUUGUUGCAGCAUGAGAGUUUGGAAGAAUUGGAAGCAGGUCCAAUCUCUACCUUAUUACUUAUUUUAAUCAAUUUUUAAGUCUUUGGCUUUUGCAGUAGAAUUCCUAGAGGUUUUUUUUUUUUUUUUUUAGUAUUUUUAUACAUUGAUAUAAAAAAGAAAGAAGCCAGAAGGACAAGUAUUAUUUUUCUCCCUACAAAAGGAAGAAAUUAAGAGACUAUAGUUGUCAGAUACAAAUUUUUAAUAUUUAAUUAUUUCUGAUUAUUUUCUAAAAGAAGAGAAGGGGAUAAUGGCUGGUAAGACUUGAUAAUAAAACCAAAUGUAGACAAAAUUAUCGGGGUAGGAGAAAAGUGAAAAAGGAAACCAGGAACAAAGUAGUUAAUAGAAAUAGUAUCUCCCUCUUUACAUUCUCUCAUCCAAGUGUUGUGUAUUUUAAAACUGUUAAUCUCUCAGGUAUUCUGCAGGUCAAAACACAUCCUUGCUUGGAAAAAACAAAGUGUCAGGUAAGACAGCUGUAGAGUAGGUACCACAUAUGACUAGGGUUCAACCACUGCUCAUAAGAAGUCUCGAUGACAUAAGGAUAAAUAUACAGUGUUCUCCGUGGUGAGGGUAACUCGGUUUCCAUCCUGGUUACACUAAGAGCAAGCAUCUAAGUGGCAUCUAAUGGGUCAGAAUUAGAGCUUUCUGUCCUCAUUUUGUGUUGUUAGUCACAGGGAAAGCCUUCCUAUGUUACCAGCUGGUUGGUUCACUCCUUUGUCUCCUUGUACUUAUCUUCUAGACAGAUUCUGAAAAAGAGAAUGGAAGAAAAGGUUUUAAAUUGUUUUCUGGCAUCUGGCAAAGGACUUGAGCAUGCCUUUUGGCUCUGAUAGGCACUUGUAAGCAGACAUCUAAUGAGGCUAGGCUAGUGUUUUUAUCCUCUAAUCAGGCUCUAUCUUACUCUGUCUUGCUUUCUAAAUCCUAUCUCUAAACAACACCAAGUGUCUUAUCUUUGGAUGGGAGGAUAAGUGAAUUAGAAGUCCGGCCUCAGUUUGGGAAGAGUUCUCAAUAUGAAAGGUUAAUAACACCAUUCUUACAGAAAGAAAAAAAUCAUCCAUUGCCCAAAUUGGGAAGCCACAGAAAAUGCUUGAGCUAACCAAACAUCCCAUAAUCGAUUUUCUAUUCACUUAACCAGUCUAUUCACGCAACUAGUCACUAGCUAUGUUCUAUUUAAAACAGCCACCACUAAUCAGAAUUUCACUUUCUCACCUGAGCUAACAUUAUUCACUGAUUUUGGUUGGCAUAUUUCCUCAUGCCUGUGGGCUCCUCUUUCUGGCUCUCUGAAAUGAUGAUCUUGUUUGUAUUACAGAGCUCUUAUUUGGAAGACAGUGAAUCAGCAGCAUUACUUUGCUGUGAAUAUGGAGAAUCAGAAAUCUUUAGUGAUUUCAAUGUACGUAGGUAUAUGUUUUUAUACACACACAAAUAACAUACAGCCCUUGGUACUCAUGGAUAUUUUGUUAUUGUUUCUAGGGAGCUUUAUUAUGCUGUAGUACAUUUACUCAGCUAUUAAAAACAAUGAAUUUAUGAAAUUCAUAGACAAAUGGAUGGAUCUGGAGGAUAUCAUCCUAAGUGAGGUAACCCAAUCACAAAAGAACACACAUUAUAUGCACUCACUGAUAAGUGGAUAUUGGCCCAGAAUUUUGGAAUACCAAGAUAUUACCAAGAUACAGUCCACAUAAAGCUCAAGAAGAAGGAAGACCACCAUGUAGAUACUUCAGUCCUUCUUAGAAGGGGGAUCAAAAUACCUAUGGGAGGAAAUAGACAAAGUGUGGAGCAGAAACUGAGGGAAAGGUCAUCCAGUGACUGUCCCACCUGGGGAUCCAUCCCAUAUACAGUCACCAAACCCAGAUGCUAUUGUGGAUGUCAACAAGUGCUUGCUGACAGGAGCCUGAUAUAGCUGUCUCCUGAGAGGCUCUGCCAGUGCCUGACAAAUUUUGUUUCUUCUAAUACAUAUCUGUGGCUAAAAUUAGUCCACAUAGCUGAGUUCUACAUGUCUCAGAUGCUUAUUGUAGCGCUAGCACUCAUGGAAAUAUGUGUUGGUGUUACUUCUCAGGUAUAAGAUUCAGCCUCUUUACCCCUUUUCUCCAUGGUACAGUUCUAGGACAUAAUUGUAUUGCCUCACCUGGUUGGAUUUCAUUCCAUCUUGAUGAAGAGUCUGGAAUGCCACAGAUUCAAUUAUUGUGGCUCAUAAAUAGCUGGAGUGGUGCUCAUUUCCCUAAUGCUUACCGACAUUAACUGAUGAAUCUACACAAACACUCUUUUAUCAUGACACUUUAUAGAUGACAGACUGAGUGUGGAAAGGUUAUAAGAUUGUUCGGUGUUUGUGAUACGCAGGGACAGCACUGACGUCACAUUUCAGCUGACAGCUAUCAGUGAGCUCAUUACCAGAGAGCAGAGUCAUUCAUAGAUUAUGUACCAGGCUCCUAUAUAGUAUACUAUGAGAUUUUAUUCAGUGUGUUUUUUAACCUUGCAAAUAAUUAUUUAGGUACUUUUAUUCACAGGCAACUAAUUUCUUUUCCUUUCCUUCCUGCUUGUAGCCAUCUCCCCCAACUGCCUCCCCAGUAGUAUCUCUCUAGGUCACUCAGGCUAUCUCAGAACUUGCCAUGUAGCCUAAACUGGCCUCAAGUUUGUAAUCUUGCUUUCACCUCCCUAGUCCUGGAAAUACUGACAAUCAUUUUAUAGCCAGAAUUUUUAUUCAUUUGAAAUGUCAGGUUUCACUCUUGCCACGUAGGCCUGAUGACCUCAGUUUGAUCCCUAUGUUUCUUGGUGAAAGGAGAGAACUAACUCCUGAAAGUCAUCCUCUGAACUCUAUACAUAGGCUGGUACACACGCACGCGUGCGCACACACACACACAUACACGCACAUACACACACACACACAUACACACACACACACAUACACACACAUACACACACACACACACACACACACACACACACACACGGCAAGUUGACUGAAAAUUUUUUGUUAUUUUUCUGGUUUUUUGUUUUGAUUUUUGAGGCAGGGUCUCAUGUAUCCAAGGCUGACCUCAGACUCACUGUGCAGCCAAUGAUGAUUUUGAACUUCUGAUCCUUCUGCCUUUAAUUUCCAGAGUGCUCAGAGCACAAGCAUGCACCACCAUACUUGCUUUGUACACUUCUGGAGAUCAAAUCUAGGGCUUUGUGCAUGCUAGGCAAGCACUUUACUACUAAGUCACAACCCUACCCGUGGACUAGCUGAGGCCCUGCUUCUCUAUCUUUGUUUAAAGGUUUUGGGUCCAUUUUGUUCACUCAGGGAGUAUUUUCAACCUCUACCUCUUUCUGCCUAUUAGUACUCCAAUAUCUAAGGAAAUUUGAAGAGGUCCUUUCUAACUUAAAGUCUUGGGAUUUAGCUCAGUGGCAGGAUGCUUGUCUAGUAUUCACAAAGUUCUGGUUCACUUCCAAGUACUGCCCAUUCAAGCAUACGGAGUAACAGUAAUCUGAAGAUUUAGCAUAGAGGGUGGUGGUAUUUGUAGAGCAAACAUUGAAAUCCUCAUUAUUUAACUUUCUUCAAAGGAAGUGAUAUGGGAUCUUGAUAAAGAAGUGGAAAUACUCAUGUAAAGAGGAAGAGUAGAUGAUAAAGCCAAUUACUGAGAACCUGUCUGUAAUCUUGGAGUAAUAAUAGUGUGAACUUUGGCUAGAUGCACUCAUUCAUUCAGCAAUCAUUGAUUGACUAUUAUGUGUAAGACUACUGGGUAAAGAGCUAUGUAGUUUGGACAUAAAAUACAGAAUCUGUGCUUAGAGAAUGUAUAAUCAAUUGACAAGUUAGUUUUAUGGAUGGAUAUGAAAG
RNAcentral lists this long non-coding RNA (3885 nucleotides) under Mus musculus (house mouse). RNAcentral's name for it is "long non-coding RNA chr11:77276759-77280644". Lineage: Eukaryota; Metazoa; Chordata; Mammalia; Rodentia; Muridae. The record is from RNAcentral.